Molecule: transfer RNA, 71 nt
Filed under: Halteria grandinella
Lineage: Eukaryota; Ciliophora; Spirotrichea; Sporadotrichida; Halteriidae
Description: tRNA-Met
Rfam family: tRNA
About the family: Transfer RNA (tRNA) molecules are approximately 80 nucleotides in length.
Source: RNAcentral
GAUAAUAUAGUUAAAAGGUAUAACCUUGUGCUCAUGCCACAAUGUUCCAAGUUCGAUUCUUGGUAUUAUCU